AUGUCGUUCAACGCUUUGGAGUUGGUGUGCUGGAAUGUUAGAGGUCUCAACAAUCCUGCCAAAAGGAAGGCCCUUAGAGGUUUUGUAGAUUCUACUCGCGCGGCGGUCGUCUGUAUACUUGAAACCAAAUUAGAGGUGGUGGACACUUUUGUAAUCUUGCAAUGCAUGGGGCCGAACUAUGCUAAUUUCACCUACUUACCGGCGUCGGAUACUAGAGGCGGUAUA
RNAcentral lists this ribosomal RNA (225 nucleotides) under Triticum aestivum (bread wheat). RNAcentral describes it as "partial small subunit ribosomal RNA". Lineage: Eukaryota; Viridiplantae; Streptophyta; Magnoliopsida; Poales; Poaceae. The record is from RNAcentral.